Xenopus laevis (African clawed frog) is the source of this 421-nucleotide long non-coding RNA. RefSeq lists it as uncharacterized. NCBI's taxonomy places the organism in Eukaryota, Metazoa, Chordata, Amphibia, Anura, Pipidae. The transcript is spliced from 3 exons. The record is from RefSeq and is a predicted model, not a curated record.
UACAACAUCAAGAGAAUUACCUCCAAAUAAUAUAGCUACUUUACCCACUACUGUGGCUAGUGCACUUACAACUACUAAACCAAAUAAUAUCACUUCCACAAAUGUGACAGAUAAAGGAAUAACACCAUCUAACACGCUAAAAACAACAACGUCAGCAUCAAUGGCAUCAUCUAUACACGCUGAUAUGUCUACUGCUUCGACUUCUACACUGGCUAAAACGUCUUCAUUCUCUCAAGAAAUAAAUUCUUUUACAGAUAUGUCUACAAAAACAAAUAAUACCACUACUUUAAAGGAGUCUAAUUUUACGAAAAAAGAUAUAUAUCAAUGUCUAAGCAGCCCCUGUGUUAAUGGAGCCACAUGCACUAGUAUGGAGAACUCUUUCUUUUGUCUUUGCCUUCCUGGAUAUACUGGAAAAUUGUGU